Molecule: unclassified non-coding RNA, 216 nt
Filed under: uncultured fungus
Lineage: Eukaryota; Fungi
Description: sequence contains ITS1
Source: RNAcentral
AAUGAUACAUGGACAUUCCAGUUCCUGUACACCCAACCUGAGUACCUUCUCCUGUUGCUUCCGUGGGGCAGCUAACGGUCAGGUUUUUCUACCUGGCUGCUGCUGGCUGCAAAGUUCCCCAUGGCGAUCACACGCCGUGGAGUCCCCACGGGAGGACCCACACAAACCCUGAAGUGAUUGAUCUCUGUCCGAUGCGAAGCUUCUUUGCAAAAAGCA